UUUCCCCUUCUAUCAAAACAAAAGCCCUUUUUCUUUGCUCUAACCUGAACCUCCUACUUCACAAUUCCCACACCCUGUUCAAACCUCCAUCUUCCUAUUUGCAACUUCCACUCGAAACUAAGCCCCUCUAUCCCAAACCUUCGACAACUAGGCUAAAUGAGAAUGAAGGAAGUUUUUAAAACCCCAAGUAUCGCCAAUUCAAAACCAAAUGAUCGUGAACCACUGUUGAGGCAAAAAAACAGACACAGUCGCCUCUGAAAAAAACUAAACCCCAAGUCACACGAGAGGAACAAGCUUCACCUCAUGGUGCGAGCAACUCUACGAUGGCCUACCGACACCACAACCCUGUAAUCGAUGUGCCUAAUUCUCCACCCCGAGAAUAAAAUGUAUAGAAUCGUGGAAUAAGUUACCAAGCGAAAAACCAAAAACACAACAGCCCAUAGCCAAAGAACCUACGAGCAGAGACAAAGAGGCCACACAAGACCGAAAGAGGGCACGAGUUAAAAAUGGAAUAUGCGGGUGUACAGCAAGCGCUAGAAGGGUGUGCCACCUAUGGCCACCAUAGAACCUGCUGCGAACACAGAUUCUGUUUCAGCCUCCAUCGCACAAUAAUCCCUCACCUUGUAAGUGAUUCUACUGUAACACAGAAUAUGGAUGCCUGCAUGACUCACAUCGAGACCUUGAGCCUCCAAAUGGCCACUAAGCUGCAUAAAGUUGAGGAGCUAGCCCAAUCAGAAGCUCAAGCUUUGAAGGUCGGCCCUUGCCCUAAGACCAGAUGAUGCUUCCUACUGCGCCCUACCUCCAGAUGAGGAAGAGAAUGAGGAACCGCCAGUUGAUCUACCCAUUGAAGUUUAUGAGGAUCCCGUGGAUUCGAAAAAUUUGAGUACAUGAUCAUCUCCGUACUCUGAUGAGUCCAAUAGUAUGAUGAUAGAAGUGGCCCUCUUUUGUAUUUUGACAAUGUAUUUUACAGCCACUU
Molecule: long non-coding RNA, 976 nt
Organism: Carica papaya (papaya)
Lineage: Eukaryota; Viridiplantae; Streptophyta; Magnoliopsida; Brassicales; Caricaceae
Source: RefSeq, a predicted model, not a curated record